CUCUUUGGAAAGUAAGAAAGUCUUUCCUAAAUUCAAAUGAUCAUUCUUAUUUUAGCUCCUUCUUUUAAAAGUCUGAGACAACUGAACGAAACUCAGCUUUCAAAAAGCCAAGGACGUCUUUGAAAUUUCAUUCUACAUUCCUGGAUUACUGAUGCUGCCUCUCUAUCAGAGCUCUUUAUCCUUCCUUCCCUUUUUGCAGACUUCAAAUCAGCCUCAGUUUUCUUCAAUUAUCCUUUUGCCUCUCCUUGCCUAGAAGAAACUCUGAAAAUUUUUUGCAUAUUUGAUGGAUAAGAUGGAAAGGACGGUAGGUGAGGAAAUACAGCAGCUAAGAUGACAAGCCAGCUCUCCACUGACCACACAGGCACAUCUCUAGCAAGGGACAGGAAGACAGAAGAAUGAAUGCAACAGGACUGCUAAGAAGUAAAGACAGUCUUCAGCUAUACAAGAAUAACAGCUAGAAAUAGACAAACUGAAGAAGAGUUUAUGGAAGGAGGAGCUGUUUUGUCCAGAGAACAGCCUGGUAGUUUUCCGUUUUCAAAUGCUUGGCUUUCGGGGCUCUGAUGUUUCCCUGCACAGUUGUGUCCAAUCAUGACAGAGACAAGGGAAACAGCCAAGGCUACAAUAUCAGAUUUAUACCACUGAGGACUGUGGCCACGAGAGGGCAGUAGAGGAAGCUUAUCAGAAUACUUGGACAGGAGUAAACUCGUGUGCGCGCUAAUCGCGAGCAGGGACUACGCAGAUCCUGCGAACUCGCUGGGGUCCAGCUUGCAGGCCGCUUCCGGAAAGCCGUGUCUAGAGGCUGCGGAGUUACUGAGACUGUGUGGCGAGGAAUCAGUGGCCUUGAGGGCACCGAGGCAUUGUCAUCCAGAAUCCCGAAACCUCUCACCUUAGGUUAUUAAAAUAAGUUAUCUUAUUGCCACCCCUCUGAUUACCCUGCCAGAAAGAUUCUCUGAAUUGGAUAUAGAAAGCUCUU
This 973-nucleotide long non-coding RNA is filed under the name Pan troglodytes (chimpanzee). RNAcentral's name for it is "long non-coding RNA NONPTRT001421". The record is from RNAcentral. Lineage: Eukaryota; Metazoa; Chordata; Mammalia; Primates; Hominidae.